GAUGAACGCUGGCGGCGUGCUUAACACAUGCAAGUCGAACGAUGAAGCCGGAGCUUGCUCUGGUGAAUUAGUGGCGAACGGGUGAGUAACACGUGAGUAACCUGCCCUUGACUCUGGGGUAACUGCGGGAAACUGCAGCUAAUACCGGAUACGACCCUCGGCGGCAUCGCCAGGGGGUGGAAAGAAUUUCGGUCAAGGAUGGACUCGCGGCCUAUCAGCUAGUUGGUGAGGUAACGGCUCACCAAGGCGACGACGGGUAGCCGGCCUGAGAGGGUGACCGGCCACACUGGGACUGAGACACGGCCCAGACUCCUACGGGAGGCAGCAGUGGGGAAUAUUGCACAAUGGGCGCAAGCCUGAUGCAGCAACGCCGCGUGAGGGAUGACGGCCUUCGGGUUGUAAACCUCUUUUAGUAGGGAAGAAGCGAAAGUGACGGUACCUGCAGAAAAAGCACCGGCUAACUACGUGCCAGCAGCCGCCGUAA
This 484-nucleotide ribosomal RNA is filed under the name uncultured bacterium. RNAcentral's name for it is "partial 16S ribosomal RNA". It matches the Rfam family "Bacterial small subunit ribosomal RNA", at positions 28 to 523 of the family's 1533-position model. The record is from RNAcentral.